Molecule: ribosomal RNA, 252 nt
Filed under: uncultured bacterium
Lineage: Bacteria
Description: partial 16S ribosomal RNA
Rfam family: Bacterial small subunit ribosomal RNA
Source: RNAcentral
UACGGAGUAUGCGAGCGUUAUCCGGAUUUAUUGGGUUUAAAGGGUGCGCAGGCGGCACGGCAAGCCGGCGGUCAAAUCGCGGGGCUCAACCCCGCCCAGCCGUCGGAACUGCCGGGCUAGAGUGGGCGAGAAGUGCGCGGAAUGCGUGGUGUAGCGGUGAAAUGCAUAGAUAUCACGCAGAACUCCGAUUGCGAAGGCAGCGCACCGGCGCCCUACUGACGCUCAGGCACGAAAGCGUGGGUAUCGAACAGG